RNAcentral lists this ribosomal RNA (501 nucleotides) under uncultured bacterium. RNAcentral's name for it is "partial 16S ribosomal RNA". It matches the Rfam family "Bacterial small subunit ribosomal RNA", at positions 30 to 523 of the family's 1533-position model. The record is from RNAcentral.
AUUGAACGCUGGCGGCAGGCUUAACACAUGCAAGUCGAGCGGAGCGAGGGUGCUUGCACCUUAGCUUAGCGGCGGACGGGUGAGUAAUGCUUAGGCAUCUGCCUAUUAGUGGGGGACAACAUUCCGAAAGGGAUGCUAAUACCGCAUACGCCCUACGGGGGAAAGCAGGGGAUCUUCGGACCUUGCGCUAAUAGAUGAGCCUAAGUCGGAUUAGCUAGAUGGUGGGGUAAAGGCCUACCAAGGCGACGAUCUGUAGCGGGUCUGAGAGGAUGCUCCGCCACACUGGGACUGAGACACGGCCCAGACUCCUACGGGAGGCAGCAGUGGGGCAUAUUGGACAAUGGGCGGAAGCCUGAUCCAGCCAUGCCGCGUGUGUGAAGAAGGCCUUUUGGUUGUAAAGCACUUUAAGCGAGGAGGAGGCUACUAGUAUUAAUACUACUGGAUAGUGGACGUUACUCGCAGAAUAAGCACCGGCUAACUCUGUGCCAGCAGCCGCAGUAA